Sus scrofa (pig) is the source of this 2386-nucleotide non-coding RNA. The record is from RefSeq and is a predicted model, not a curated record. Lineage: Eukaryota; Metazoa; Chordata; Mammalia; Artiodactyla; Suidae.
GUUAGGUGAAACUCCCCACGCGGGGGGACUGCAAGCAGUAAGAAUUCAAGGCAUGCUCACUUCUGAUCCCUGCCGUCAAUCCUGCCUUCUGAGCGGUGCGUACCGCGAAAGCAUGCUCAUUUGUCACUUCAUCCCCAGAGCCCUGGCCGGGAGCUGAGCGAGCGUCUAUACCCGCGCUGACUCCUUUUUAAAUUCUUCCUCUCAGCGGGCUCACUGAACCCCUCCCAAGGCUACUGCAGAGGCGGCGCCUAAUAGGUGCUGACUUCCGGCUACAGCUGAGGGGUGGCGGUCGCCCGCGUCUGUGAGCAAGUCGCUCAGACUCCGGGGCAUCUGCUUCCUCCGCACCAGAAACACGCGAGCUCCUCCCGGGAGCCCCUGACGAAUGCGGGUGGGCGCUUAGGGGGCCGCCCCCUGGAGGAGUGACUGCAGCGGGGACGCCGGCGCUGCCGCGGGGACCUCCAGCAGCAGCAGCAGCAGCAGAGGCAGGAACGGCAGGAGAGGCGACGAGGCCAUCACGACGGAGGGGCCAACGUACGACGGCAGAAGCAGCUGCCCCGGGAAAGAGCCGCCUUUAAGCCGGCGGUGGCCCAGCCCCCCUGCCGAACCCGCCCCCUGGUGCCCACGCCCCUCGGGGGCCCGGGCGGCGUCUCUAAGCAUCUCGACUUCUCUCUCUCUUUCCUUCUUUCUCUUUCUCUCUUUCUUCUCUCCUCUCUCUCCCUCUCUGGGUGUACCUUUUCCACCUGAGCUCCACCCUACCCCCACCCCCACCAGGUGCUGGGCCCCCAGUCGCAUGGACCAUGAGCUGCUCUUCGAUCUCCCCCGUCCCUUUCCCGCAAUCAGCCCCGACCAGCCGUGUGAGGCUUGAGCAUCUUGAGCAGAGGUGAGGUGGGGGCUUAGAGACAGAGACACAGCAAGACCGAGAGUUAGGAGGGCCACUCUGGGCCCAGGGAUCCCUCUUGGGGGCGGCCAGGUUGACCUAGCCCCGCCCCGCCUCCCUAGCCCAGAGACCCUGCCUUCCCACCCUGUGCUCUGAUGUGGGUGGGGGUGGCCGAUCCUCUGCCUGAGAGUGGGCAGGGGCUGCCGCAUCCCCGUUCCCUCCCUCUAGCCUGGCCCAGGACCCUUCUUCCCAACUUUCUCCCCCUCCCCCUCUCAGGCUCCCCAGCCCUGAAGCUCCAGAUCCAACAGCGUGGUCCCGUGAGGCUGACUCAGGCUUGGCCACAGCUGGGCCAGAAAGCAGAAGCCAGAGCAGGGAGGGGCACCUCCCUUCUCUUGGUCCCCCACUCCUGGCUUGGGGGUGGGAGAGAAAAAAAUCUGGCAUUUCUUCUUUCUAUCCUCCAGGGCUUGGGGAGAGCAGGCCAUCCCUCCUUUCAGCCAGCUCCCUUGCUGGAGGAGAAGCCGAGUCGGAGCAGUCAUAACUGAAAGCCUAUAGUGUGUACAUGGGGUGGGGGUGAGGGAUCAGCCCGUGGAAGACCCAGGAUGGCAGGAAUCAGCCAGAGCCAGGUUUGCCCUGGGACUGUGCUGGGCACCUCAAGUGGUGGAGCCUCAACUUCCCCUUCUGUAAAAUGGGAGAAGUGAGGUUUGGGAAAUAAAGCUACCAGAGGGAGAGUUGCCCCAGGCUGCGGGUAGAGGUGGCACAUCUGGGUUUGUAAGCCUGGGAAGGUGUGGACAGGACAGCAGUGUGGGAGGGAGGAAAGAAUGGCCCAGAUAGGAGUUCCCAUCGUGGCUCAGUGGUUAACAAAUCCAACUAGGAACCAUGAGGUUGCGGAUUCGAUCCCUGGCCUUGCUCAGUGGGUUAAGGAUCCAGCGUUGCCAUGAGCUGUGGUGUAGGUCGCAGACCUGGCUUGGAUCUGGUGUUGCUGUGGCUCUGGCGCAGGCCGGCAGCUACAGCUCCGAUUAGACCCCUAGCCUGGGAACUUCCAUAUGCCGUGGGUGCAGCCCCAGAAAUGGCAAAAAGACAAAAAGAUUAAAAAAAAAACAAACAAAAAAAAAACAGUCCAGAUAAAGGCGAGAAGGCUGGGAGUGUCAGGGAAGUAACUGAGACAUUCAGACUUUGUAGGGCCUUGACGGGACAAGGGUCUGGAUUGCACGGGAGGAAACACCCAUCCCUGGCCCAGAAAACAGCCCAGUCCCCCAGCCUCCCUAGCCUGGUCCCUUCCAGUUCUGGGGAAACCCCAGCCUGCAUGGCCACAUUCAUGGAAGCUGGGGUUCCCCUGAAGUCCCCAAUAGCUGGACAAUCCCCCAUCUGACCUUUUGGAGCCAUUCACAAAACCCAUUUCCUUUGUAGAAGCUUCUGCAAGACUAAGUAACCCCGCUUGGGGCAACUAGUGGGCGCUCCAUGCUGUACUGGGCAGGACAGAAAAAAUAACAAUAAACAGAAUUGCUACGA